GACGAACGCUGGCGGCGUGCUUGACACAUGCAAGUCGAACGGAAGGGCCUGCUUUCCCUUGUGGAUUGCGGGUACUCGAGUGGCGAACGGGUGAGUAACACGUGAGUGAUCUGCCCCCAACUUGGGUAUAAGCCUGGGAAACUGGGUCUAAUUCCCGAUAGGACUGCAGGGUGGUGCCUGUGGUGGAAAACGAUUUUCUAGUGGUUGGGGAUGAGCUCGCGGCCUAUCAGCUUGUUGGUGGGGUAAUGGCCUACCAAGGCGGCGACGGGUAGCCGGCCUGAGAGGGUGGACGGCCACAUUGGGACUGAGAUACGGCCCAGACUCCUACGGGAGGCAGCAGUGGGGAAUAUUGCACAAUGGGCGGAAGCCUGAUGCAGCGACGCCGCGUGGGGGAUGACGGCCUUCGGGUUGUAAACUCCUUUCGACCGCGAGGAAGCCACCUGGUUGGAAGGGUGGUGACGGUAGUGGUAGAAGAAGCACCGGCUAACUACGUG
This 494-nucleotide ribosomal RNA is filed under the name uncultured bacterium. RNAcentral's name for it is "partial 16S ribosomal RNA". It matches the Rfam family "Bacterial small subunit ribosomal RNA", at positions 28 to 507 of the family's 1533-position model. The record is from RNAcentral.